CAUCUAGUUGAUAGUUUGAUCCUUGCUCAGGAUGAACGGCUAGCGGCAGUAUAAUACAUGCAGGCCCGGACGGCAAGGCGUGUAGCAAUACAUGCCGUAGAGUGGCGCAAGGGUGCGUAACACGUAUGCAACCUGCCCACGGCCCGGGGAUAGCCCCCCGAAAAGGGGGAUUAACACCCGAUAGUAACUUGAUCUGGCAUCGGAUUGAGUUUAAGCCACGGGGCCGUGGAUGGGCAUGCGGUCGAUUAGCUAGUUGGCGGGGUAACGGCCCACCAAGGCGAUGAUCGAUAGGGGUUCUGAGAGGAAGGUCCCCCACACUGGCACUGAGACACGGGCCAGACUCCUACGGGAGGCAGCAGUAGGGAAUAUUGGACAAUGGGCGGAAGCCUGAUCCAGCCAUGCCGCGUGCAGGAAGAAGGCCUUCUGGGUCGUAAACUGCUUUUGCCGGGGGAUAAAACGCCCCUGCGGGGGAGAUUGAAGGUACCCGGUGAAUAAGCCACGGCUAACUACGUGCCAGCAGCCGCGGUAAUACGUAGGUGGCGAGCGUUGUCCGGAUUUAUUGGGUUUAAAGGGUGCGUAGGCGGCCCUGUAAGUCAGUGGUGAAAUACGGCAGCUCAACUGUCGAGGUGCCAUUGAUACUGCAGGGCUUGAGUGUUGACGAGGCAGGCGGAAUUGACGGUGUAGCGGUGAAAUGCUUAGAUAUCGUCAAGAACACCGAUAGCGAAGGCAGCUUGCCAGGCAACAACUGACGCUGAGGCACGAAAGUGCGGGGAUCAAACAGGAUUAGAUACCCUGGUAGUCCGCACAGUAAACGAUGGUCACUCGAUGUUGGCGAUACACGGCCAGCGUCUUAGCGAAAGCGAUAAGGACCACAUGG
This 877-nucleotide ribosomal RNA is filed under the name uncultured bacterium. Its description in RNAcentral is "bacterial SSU rRNA". It matches the Rfam family "Bacterial small subunit ribosomal RNA", at positions 1 to 876 of the family's 1533-position model. The record is from RNAcentral.